UAGGGAAUCUUCCGCAAUGGGCGAAAGCCUGACGGAGCAACGCCGCGUGAGUGAUGAAGGGUUUCGGCUCGUAAAACUCUGUUAUUAGGGAAGAACAAAUGUGUAAGUAACUGUGCACAUCUUGACGGUACCUAAUCAGAAAGCCACGGCUAACUACGUGCCAGCAGCCGCGGUAAUACGUAGGUGGCAAGCGUUAUCCGGAAUUAUUGGGCGUAAAGCGCGCGUAGGCGGUUUCUUAAGUCUGAUGUGAAAGCCCACGGCUCAACCGUGGAGGGUCAUUGGAAACUGGGAAACUUGAGUGCAGAAGAGGAAAGUGGAAUUCCAUGUGUAACGGUGAAAUGCGCAGAGAUAUGGAGGAACACCAGUGGCGAAGGCGACUUUCUGGUCUGUAACUGACGCUGAUGUGCGAAAGCGUGGGGAUCAAACAGG
Molecule: ribosomal RNA, 429 nt
Filed under: Bacillota bacterium
Lineage: Bacteria; Bacillati; Bacillota
Description: Firmicutes bacterium partial 16S ribosomal RNA
Rfam family: Bacterial small subunit ribosomal RNA
Source: RNAcentral